This is a long non-coding RNA of Sapajus apella (tufted capuchin), 677 nucleotides long. RefSeq lists it as uncharacterized. The transcript is spliced from 2 exons. The record is from RefSeq and is a predicted model, not a curated record. Lineage: Eukaryota; Metazoa; Chordata; Mammalia; Primates; Cebidae.
AACUAUAGUGCAACUUCUUCUGUAUGUUUACUUAUUCUUGGAUUCACAUGAACAGGUGAACUUUACUGUUAUACCGUAUUUGGGGACUAUUUAAAUGAAACUAUAACUUCCUUCCAUAGAGAGACGAAAACACCUUUUCAAACAGGCCAGAGUGAGGCAAUAUUCCACAGGGUUUGAGAGCAAAAUUUCUAAUAAAAUAUUUAAAACCCUAAAGGUAAGUUCUUGCAUAUGUGACAUUUGCACAGCAAUUCAUUCUGAAAUGAUUGCCAAGCUGACUUGAGUGAGAAAAGCAAGCGGAAGAAGGAAGUGCCUGGCCAGGUCCACCUAUCUCUGAAUCAGAGGAAGUGCUCAGGCCAGCAUCAUGAAACAGCCAUGGUGGGACUUUUUCUUUUAUUUUCUUCUACCCCUUCAACUCACCUCCUUGUCCAUAAUCAGAAAUGAGAGGAAAUGAGGCAAAGGGUGAUGCUGGCAUGCCAGCUCUGGAAGCCGUGAAGCCUAGAUUUAUACAGCACUCUCUGCAAGUGCCACACACACCAAUAAAAAGAGAGUUCUUCAGAAAAUGAGGUGUGACGCAGGCCAGCUUUGCCAAGACUCUCGGACCAAGAAAUAAGGAUUUAAAUAUGAAAUACUAAAAUUUAACACAUGACUGAAACAAAAUAGAUGGUGUACUACUGAAA